AAGGAUCAUUACCGAAUUGUCAACACGAGUUGUUGCUGGUCCUCAAAUGGGGGCAUGUGCACGCUCUGUUUGCACAUCCACUCACACCUGUGCACCCUCCGUAGUUCUGUAGCCUGGGGGGCUCUGUUCCUCCUGCUGUGGUUCUGCGUAUUUACACACACACUGUGACAAAGUCUUAUGGAAUGUAUGCCGCGUUUAACGCAAUACAAUACAACUUUCAGCAACGGAUCUCUUGGCUCUC
This 241-nucleotide unclassified non-coding RNA is filed under the name uncultured fungus. RNAcentral describes it as "partial contains 18S rRNA, ITS1, 5.8S rRNA, ITS2 and 28S rRNA". Lineage: Eukaryota; Fungi. The record is from RNAcentral.